Molecule: ribosomal RNA, 236 nt
Filed under: uncultured bacterium
Lineage: Bacteria
Description: partial 16S ribosomal RNA
Rfam family: Bacterial small subunit ribosomal RNA
Source: RNAcentral
AACGGUCGCACCAAGGUCACGAUACAUAGGGGGUUCUGAGAGGUAGUACCCCCACACUGGUACUGAGACACGGACCAGACUCCACGGGAGGCAGCAGUAGGGAAUAUUGGUCAAUGGACGCAAGUCUGAACCAGCCAUGCCGCGUGCAGGAAGACGGNCCUCUGGGUUGUAAACUGCUUUUAUAUAGGAAGAAACCCCUGGAUGCGUUAGGGGCUGACGGUACUAUAUGAAUAAGG